CCUACGGGUGGCAGCAGUGGGGAAUAUUGGACAAUGGGGGCAACCCUGAUCCAGCCAUGCCGCGUGUGUGAAGAAGGCCCUCGGGUUGUAAAGCACUUUCAGUGAGGAAGAACGCCUGGUGGUUAAUACCCAUCAGGAAAGACAUCACUCACAGAAGAAGCACCGGCUAACUCCGUGCCAGCAGCCGCGGUAAUUCGGAGGGUGCGAGCGUUAAUCGGAAUUACUGGGCGUAAAGCGCGCGUAGGUGGCUUGAUAAGCCGGUUGUGAAAGCCCCGGGCUCAACCUGGGAACGGCAUCCGGAACUGUCAAGCUAGAGUGCAGGAGAGGAAGGUAGAAUUCCCGGUGUAGCGGUGAAAUGCGUAGAGAUCGGGAGGAAUACCAGUGGCGAAGGCGGCCUUCUGGACUGACACUGACACUGAGGUGCGAAAGCGUGGGUAGCAAACAGGAUUAGAUACCCUAGUAGUC
This 465-nucleotide ribosomal RNA is filed under the name Vreelandella stevensii. RNAcentral's name for it is "partial 16S ribosomal RNA". It matches the Rfam family "Bacterial small subunit ribosomal RNA", at positions 338 to 795 of the family's 1533-position model. The record is from RNAcentral. Lineage: Bacteria; Pseudomonadati; Pseudomonadota; Gammaproteobacteria; Oceanospirillales; Halomonadaceae.